UCGCUCGCCUGUUUACCAAAAACAUCACCUCUAGCAUCACCAGUAUCGCCUGUUUACCAAAAACAUAACCUUUAGCCAAACAAAUAUUAAAGGCGACGCCUGCCCAGUGAACAAUUAAACGGCCGCGGUACCCUAACCGUGCAAAGGUAGCAUAAUCAUUUGUUUACUAAUUAUAGACCUGUAUGAAAGGCAGAAUGAGGGCCUAGCUGUGUCUUAUAAUCAAUCAAUUAAAGUGAUCUCCCAGUUAAAAAGCUGGGAUAUUAACAUAAGACCAGAAGACCCUGUGAAGGUUAAAAUAAACCAUUAAACCAAAUAAUGAUAACUUUCGGUUGGGGCGACCUUGGAAAAAAAAAGAACUUCCAAUGUAGUGAUUAUAACCCACAACCCAGGCCAACAAGCCAAUAACGACCCAGCACAGCUGACAAAAGAACCAAGUUACUCCAGGGAUAACAGCGCAAUUUUCUUCAAGAGCCCAUAUCAAAAAGAAGGUUUACGACCUUGAUGUUGGAUCAGGACAUCCCGAUGGGCAGCCGCUAUCAAAGGUCGUUUUCAAUCCU
RNAcentral lists this ribosomal RNA (557 nucleotides) under Dasypeltis bazi. RNAcentral describes it as "partial 16S ribosomal RNA". It matches the Rfam family "Bacterial large subunit ribosomal RNA", at positions 1748 to 2588 of the family's 2925-position model. The record is from RNAcentral. Lineage: Eukaryota; Metazoa; Chordata; Lepidosauria; Squamata; Colubridae.